GCUCAGCGCAGUUGUGGGUUUCAGUGUCCAACUUUGACCGUCCGUCUUAUUUUAAAAAUUAUUAUUAUUACUAUUUUCAUUGUUAUUUGAUAAUAAAAUAUAAAGAGUACUUUAUGUGUGACUUAAUUUUUUAAAAAAAUUUCAUAAAUUUUUCAAAUAAGACGGACGGUCAAACGUUAGACACGGAAACUUAUGGCUGCACUAAAA
Oryza barthii is the source of this 207-nucleotide non-coding RNA. The record is from Rfam. NCBI's taxonomy places the organism in Eukaryota, Viridiplantae, Streptophyta, Magnoliopsida, Poales, Poaceae.